GUUCUGGGAACUGAAGUGGAGAACAAGUGAGACACAGCCCUUGUACUUUUGCAGAUUCCGUUCUAGGGGGUGCAACAGACAUCUCAGAAAUUAAACAAAGAAAUUAGAAUUUCAGAGAGAUUUAAGUGCUGUAAAAAUUGAGCAGGUGAUAGAGAGUGACGAGAAGACAUGAGAUGAUAGCUAACACUUAUUGAUCGUUUACUAUUUCCUAAGUGCUAUCUUUUUGUUAACCAACCUUUACAACUAUUUAGGUAUCAUUAUUUUACCCAUUUUGCAAAUGAAGACAUUGAGGAACAGAGUGACAAGUACUUCUCCAAAGGUAUCUAGUUAGUAAGCAAGAGAGAGGGGGUCUGGACCCAGGCAGCGUUAUUUUUGUUUGCUUGUUUCUUUUUUGUCAUACAGAUAGGAUUCAAGUUCAGGUUGUCCUGGCCAAAAUUUCCUUCCCAGCCCCCAGUACAUACAACCUCCCAACAGUUUAGUGUGCCAGGUAGCCCAAUGGCAGCCGGUUUGCUUGGAGGCGGCUAGGUUCUUCUUUUCCAUUAGAUAACACAAGGGAAAAGGGAAACCAGUGCUGGGUCCAGGAUCAGCACGCCUGAGACCAUCGUGCUUGAGCUUCCUUUAGGCCAAACAGCACCUGACUGAUGGUGAGCUGUCGGCCAACGGUGGAGGAGCAGAUGGAAAUCAGCUUGAACGCUGGAGGAACAGAAAGGAAAGCCCAUGAGGCUGGGGCUUGUUAAGCCUGCCAGAGAAUGGAAGGUGUGACAGGAGAAAUGAACACUUUAUGGGAAUUCCCUGGCGGUCCAGUGGUUAGGACUUGGCACUUUCACUGCCAGGGCCCGGGUUCAAUCCCUGGUCGGAGAACUAGGAUCCUGCAAGCCAUGUGGUGCAGCCAAAAAAAAAAAAAAAAAAAAAAGACCAAAAAAUGAACAAAUAAAAAACAGCAACAAAAAAACACUUUAUAUGUCUCUUUGGCACUAUGGAAGAAACAAGGCUCAGAAAACUCCGAAGUUUCUUUGUUUUCUUUUCUUUUCAUUGUUUUUAAUUGAAGUAUAGCUGAUUUACAAUGUAGUGUGUUUUCUUAAAAUAGUAUCAGUUUCUUUUGUUCUCAAGUAUGUGACUACUCCUUAUAACAUGACCAAAAGUAAGAAGCCUGGAUUCCAUAAAAUCCAGCAGUAUGUAGGUAUAUUUGUAGUGAAAAUGUAAAAGCAAAUUUAGUCAGCAAAUUUUACAUGUAAUUUACAUGUAACUAAAUGGGAUUUUGAAUUUAUAUGUACUCAAACUGUUGAUUAGUUGGUAAAGUCUUAUUGUGCAUAAUACCUUUUAAUGUGCCUAAACUAUUUAAGUGACCUUAGAUUUGUUUAAAAAAAAAU
RNAcentral lists this transfer RNA (1370 nucleotides) under Balaenoptera musculus (blue whale). Its description in RNAcentral is "lncRNA (ENSBMSG00010020738.1)". The stretch from base 790 to 861 matches the Rfam family "tRNA". The record is from RNAcentral. Lineage: Eukaryota; Metazoa; Chordata; Mammalia; Artiodactyla; Balaenopteridae.